GGGGGUGCACCGGUUUCGACGGAUGCGGGAACCCCUGUGCUGCAGGUGGGCGUGAAGGUGCCCUAAACUGACAAAAAAAUAACUGCAAAACGUAGAGAAGAAGAAGAUUCUUCAGACGAACAGUUUGCUCUUGCUGCUUAGUCAGUGAGCACGGAACUUCUGCUGUGCUGUUCCGAACAGCGGUCUGUUCUGAUGCCAACCGGAACUUGAUUUGCAAUGCUUUCAGCCGUUGCAGAUGACAAUCAGCUGGAAUAAGGAAAAGACGCUUGUAAUGCUGCUACCUUUUCCCGACAAAUACCUCGCAUUACUAAACUUGUAGAGGCGCUUGGAUUACACACCCGGACGGGGGUUCAAUUCCCCCCAUCUCCACUU
Treponema porcinum is the source of this 372-nucleotide non-coding RNA. NCBI's taxonomy places the organism in Bacteria, Pseudomonadati, Spirochaetota, Spirochaetia, Treponematales, Treponemataceae. The record is from Rfam.